UACGUAGGGACCAAGCGUUGUUCGGAUUUACUGGGCGUAAAGGGCGCGUAGGCGGCUUAACAAGUCACUUGUGAAAUCUCCGGGCUUAACUCGGAACGGCCAAGUGAAACUGUCAAGCUAGAGUGCAGAAGGGGCAAUCGGAAUUCUUGGUGUAGCGGUGAAAUGCGUAGAUAUCAAGAGGAACACCUGAGGUGAAGACGGGUUGCUGGGCUGACACUGACGCUGAGGCGCUAAAGCCAGGGGAGCAAACGGG
RNAcentral lists this ribosomal RNA (253 nucleotides) under uncultured bacterium. RNAcentral describes it as "partial 16S ribosomal RNA". It matches the Rfam family "Bacterial small subunit ribosomal RNA", at positions 524 to 776 of the family's 1533-position model. The record is from RNAcentral.